GCCUAAUCCUUUGUAUUAGCUGAUUUCUUGGUUUGUUCUCUGGUAAUGAAGUUUUUCCUUUCAAAAAAAAAAAAAAAAAGAAUAGACUUACCAUGUUAAAAUUAGGGCAUAGAAAAUAAAAACCCAAAUAAAUUUGAAGUAACCGCUCAUAAUAUUCUUCUUCACUGUACACCCCGCGCACAGUCUUCUUCUUCUUCGCAUCCCGCCAUCCCCAACGUUCUCGAAGGUCCGUUCGCAGCUCGACCUUAUUCGUGCUCGGCGUCGCCCACAGGUGGCCUUUGGAGAUGGGUCUGUUUGAUUUCCAGUACCUUCGGAGGUGAGACUGUUCCAUUUCCAGCGUCGAAGUAGUAUUCAUCAAAACGGUGGUGGCUCUGAGGGGAUGGAAGUGAUAUUCAAGUAGCUCUAGCAAAGUGGACUGGUAGAUGAAUGAUACCGAAUGUGUUUAUUGGAGGGAAAAACGUUGGUGGCUGUGACGUCUGUAAUAAGGCAAUAAGUUUCAACUUCCAUCAUUUUCUCUAUGUUUAGUCUCUUGUUUUAUUUAACUUAAUCUCCUGUACAGAAAUGAAAACAUACCCGUUUAAGUAAAAUCUCUUUUGGGAUUAUUGCAGCGGUGUUAGAGAAGCACCAGACAUGUCAGCUUGUUUCUCUCCUUACUGAAGCUGGCUCCAUUGCGGUUAAGGCUUUUGGUCUGUGAAUAUUAAUUAAGGCCACGAUAGCCUUAAUAAUAUAACAAGAUAAAGAGGGAUUUGUAUUUGUUGAUGGGGAUGGAAAACAUUUCUAACACAUACUUAAUUGGUUAAGGGAUGGUGUUGUUCCUACAUUAAAAGACUCAAUUUGUAGAGCUUUUGAGGGAGGCAGAAUACUAUCAGCUACUGGAUAAUGAGUCUGACCGAGGAAAAUGACAUCUAUCUUGGCUGUCUAGCUAUGACUAAAGAACCUACUUGUGACAACUCGACACUGGAAGCUUUGAUGAGACUCUUUUUGCCAGCACACGACCCUAAGCUGUCUUUGCUUAUUUCCUUGCUUAGCUACCCUCGAAUGGCUUGGUACGCGCUUGCCGGCCCCUCACCCCUAUUAGGUUGCUUGGAUGCCGAUCAGUGGCCUAUUUACCGAAUCAUGAUUCUUUUGAGUCCUAUUUUUGCAAACGAAUAAGACGGUGCUGAUUCUGAUGUAUUCGAUUUCCUUUCUCAUUCCCCGCUAUCCUUGCUUGGCUAGCUUGCUUCGAAAGCUGUCAUGCUCCAGUUAAUUAUUUUUCUUGAUUAUUGUUAAUUUCAAGAGGUACGUAUGUUCUCUUAUUAGAAGAGUUUGAGUAUUUUAAAUAUUCAUUCAUAGUGAAGUAGGUUCUGAGAUUAAAAUUGUGUGUUGCGGUGAUAAUGGAAGGUUGCGAACUUGUGUGUUUUAGUGAAGUAGGUUCUCAGAAAUUUAUUUGUGUGCUGCGGAGAUAUAAGGAAGAAAUUUAUUGUGUGUUGUUUGAAUUGUUUGAUUCUGUGUUGAAUUCAACUCAUGCAAUGAAUUUUUUUUAUUGUGGCGGGAAGAACUCUUACACAAAGGAUGAGAUCAAUGAAGUACGUGAAGAAUAGGUACAGUGCGUCAUGGAUUUGAUGAGUACUACAUAGGUUCACUCACUUUUGUUAACAGACUUUUAAGGAGAUAUACCUACAAUGUUAACUUAGACUCUCUUGAAGAUAUCCACACUUUUGUUGUCUAACUAAAGUUUACAAUGCUUAUAUUAGUCAUUUUGUAAUUAACUUAAGACUCGUUAUUUUGGAUACUUAGUUGAAAUUCUAGUAUUUUAUAUUACUGUGA
Molecule: long non-coding RNA, 1806 nt
Organism: Humulus lupulus (European hop)
Lineage: Eukaryota; Viridiplantae; Streptophyta; Magnoliopsida; Rosales; Cannabaceae
Exons: 5
Source: RefSeq, a predicted model, not a curated record